RNAcentral lists this ribosomal RNA (1230 nucleotides) under metagenome. Its description in RNAcentral is "SSU rRNA". It matches the Rfam family "Eukaryotic small subunit ribosomal RNA", at positions 500 to 1759 of the family's 1831-position model. The record is from RNAcentral.
GUUCCGGCAUUGGAAUGAGAACAAUAUAAAUCUUUUAACGAGGAUCUAGUGGAGGGCAAGUCUGGUGCCAGCAGCCGCGGUAAUUCCAGCUCCGCAAGUGUAUAUCUAUGUUGCUGCGGUUAAAAAGCUCGUAGUUGGAUCUGCGUGUUUAGCGUCCGGUUCGACUUUUGGUCGUUACUGGAACGCGACACAUAUGUGCUGGUUUGCCGUUGAUGCUCUUAAUCGGGUGUCAGUGGCGGCUAGCGAGUUUACUUUGAAAAAAUUAGAGUGCUCAAAACAGGCGUUUCGCCUGAAUAUUUCUGCAUGGAAUAAUAGAAUAGGGCUUCGAUUCUAUUCUGUUGGUUUUCGGAAUGCGAAGUAAUGAUUAAGAGGGACAGACGGGGGCAUUCGUACUGCGACGUUAGAGGUGAAAUUCUUGGAUCGUCGCAAGACGUACUACUGCGAAGGCAUUUGCCAAGAAUGUUUUCAUUAAUCAAGAACGAAAGUUAUGGGUUCGAAGGCGAUCAGAUACCGCCCUAGUCAUAACCGUAAACGAUUCAAACUGGGCGCCCGACGGUGUUUUUAUUGACCCGUCGGGAACCCUCUCGGAAACGAAAGUGUUCGUGUUCCGGGGGAAAUAUGUCUGCAAAGAGGAAACUUAAAGGAAUUGACGGAAGGGCACCACCAGGGGUGGAGCCUGCGGCUUAAUUUGACCCAACACGGGGAAACUCACCCGGCCCGGACACCGUAAGGAUUGACAGAUUGAGAGCUCUUUCUUGAUUCGGUGGGUGGUGGUGCAUGGCCGUUCUUAGUUGGUGGAGUGAUUUGUCUGGUUUACUCCGAUAACGAACGAGACUCUGGCCUGCUAACUAGUGUUCACAUCUUUACGUGUGCUUCGCUUCUUAGAGGGACAGGCGGCUUCCAGCCGCAUGAAGAAGAGCAAUAACAGGUCUGUGAUGCCCUUAGAUGUCCGGGGCUGCACGCGCGCUACACUGAAAGAAUCAGCGUGUACGUUACCUGGCUCGAAAGAGUCGGGUAAUCCGGUGAAAAUCUUUCGUGAUUGGGAUCGGGACUUGCAAUUAUUUCCCUUGAACGAGGAAUCCCUAGUAAGUGCGGGUCAUCAGCUCGCGCUGAUUACGUCCCUGCCCUUUGUACACACCGCCCGUCGCUGCCCGGAACUGAGCCGUUUCGAGAAAAAUGGGGACUGUCUACUUGAGGUCUUCACGGACUUUUUGUAAAUGGAAACCGCUU